This is a long non-coding RNA of Armigeres subalbatus, 535 nucleotides long. RefSeq lists it as uncharacterized. The record is from RefSeq and is a predicted model, not a curated record. Lineage: Eukaryota; Metazoa; Arthropoda; Insecta; Diptera; Culicidae. The transcript has 2 exons.
UAAAUUUUUUCACCGAUCUCGGCUGUGCAAAUCUCGGUUUAAGUUCGUUUGCUGAAAUAUCGGCUAAAUAGAUGUAUGAUUACGGCAGCUCCCUUGAGUGCCGCAGUAAACAAAUUACUUUUUCAGCUGAUACAUCAGCAGAAAUUCUCAAACCGAGCGCUCGGCUGUGCGGAUCUCGGCAAAAGAAUGAAAAAAAGCCGAGCUGAACUGAGUGUGUAUAUUAUUAUCGAUUCGGUUCCUAUAUAAGGCAUGAAUGAAGCUGAAAAAUACAUCAUUCAUAUCUGAGUUCUGGAAGAGAAUAGUAACCCCAAUAGAAUCCAGGAAAUUGUAAAAAUGCCGAACAAAAACGACGAACACGGCGCUGCAAUUCGCCAAGCUAUCAAUUCCAAUCCAAAUGCCAAGGGUGAUGAGAGGGCGGAAAUUAUAAAAGAAGCAAUAAAACAAUCCAAUGAAGAGAACAAAGGUCAAGGUAAAAAAUAAGCAGUGCAAAUGUAAUUCUGAAUGUAAUGAAUAAAAUUUUAUGCAGGAAAAUGUU